RNAcentral lists this ribosomal RNA (501 nucleotides) under uncultured bacterium. RNAcentral describes it as "partial 16S ribosomal RNA". It matches the Rfam family "Bacterial small subunit ribosomal RNA", at positions 30 to 523 of the family's 1533-position model. The record is from RNAcentral.
AUUGAACGCUGGCGGCAGGCUUAACACAUGCAAGUCGAGCGGGGGAAGGUAGCUUGCUACCGGACCUAGCGGCGGACGGGUGAGUAAUGCUUAGGAAUCUGCCUAUUAGUGGGGGACAACAUCUCGAAAGGGAUGCUAAUACCGCAUACGUCCUACGGGAGAAAGCAGGGGAUCUUCGGACCUUGCGCUAAUAGAUGAGCCUAAGUCGGAUUAGCUAGUUGGUGGGGUAAAGGCCUACCAAGGCGACGAUCUGUAGCGGGUCUGAGAGGAUGAUCCGCCACACUGGGGCUGAGACACGGCGCAGACUCCUACGGGAGGAAGCAGUGGGGAAUAUUGGACAAUGGGGGGAACCCUGAUCCAGCCAUGCCGCGUGUGUGAAGAAGGCCUUAUGGUUGUAAAGCACUUUAAGCGAGGAGGAGGCUACUUUAGUUAAUACCUAGAGAUAGUGGACGUUACUCGCAGAAUAAGCACCGGCUAACUCUGUGCCAGCCGCCGCCGUAA